This 127-nucleotide small nucleolar RNA is filed under the name Xyrichtys novacula (pearly razorfish). It matches the Rfam family "Small nucleolar RNA SNORA71". From Rfam's summary of the family: The members of this family belong to the H/ACA class of snoRNAs which bind a number of proteins (including dyskerin, Gar1p and Nop10p) to form snoRNP complexes. This class of snoRNAs are thought to guide the sites of modification of uridines to pseudouridines by forming direct base pairing interactions with substrate RNAs. The record is from RNAcentral. Lineage: Eukaryota; Metazoa; Chordata; Actinopteri; Labriformes; Labridae.
UCCUGUAUCGAAAGUGAUCAUGGCGUCCUCAUCGUCAGGUCAUUGAUAGUACAGGAAGAUCGACCUGCGAGCCUUUCCCGUGUUUGAAGGAUGAUUGGUUCCUGUCAGACCCUGAUGCUCUCAGACA